This is a long non-coding RNA of Zophobas morio, 368 nucleotides long. RefSeq lists it as uncharacterized. The record is from RefSeq and is a predicted model, not a curated record. Lineage: Eukaryota; Metazoa; Arthropoda; Insecta; Coleoptera; Tenebrionidae. The transcript has 3 exons.
CCACUUCUCAUCGUAGUCCGCACCCGGAAGAGACGGAGCGGCACUUGGAAACGGCUAAAAUUAAUCGUUACACGUGAAGGUCACUUCGGGGAAAUUCCUAGGACGAUGAUACCACUCGGCGUAAUCUAUACUCGUAUUUUUUGAGCGUUGAGCCAGGUUCCCGUACAACCAUCAAAAAGGACCAAUCAGCCAUUUAGGUCAAUCCAGAGUGAUCUAUUUUACUGCAAACCACCAAGAUUGACGUGUCCCUCCGCAUUAAAGGGCUUAAUUGAAGGGCCGAGGGAGUAAGUUCGCUGCGAGUGGCACUAACGAUUAAAUAAAAUCGAUGUUUCAAACGCACUUCGAGCUUUUUGUGCCGACACCGAUAU